CAAUAGCGUAUAUUAAAGUUGUUGCAGUUAAAAAGCUCGUAGUUGGAUUUCUGGCUGGAGCGAUCGGUCCGCCCCGCAAGGGGUGGUGUACUAGCGUCGUCUCCGACCAUCCUUGUGGGAACUGUGCGGCCGUUAACUCGGUUGUAUAUGGGAACACAUCGUUUACUGUGAAAAAAUUAGAGUGUUCAAAGCAGGCCUAUGCUCUGAAUAGGUUAGCAUGGAAUAAUAGAAUAGGACUUUGGUUCUAUUUUGUUGGUUUCUAGGACCGAAGUAAUGAUUAAUAGGGACAGUUGGGGGCGAUUUUUAUUUCCAUUGUCAGAGGUGAAAUUCUUGGAUUAACGGAAGAAAACUAACUGCGAAAGCAUCUGCCAAGGAUGUUUUCAUUGAUCAAGAACGAAAGUUAGGGGAUCGAAGACGAUUAGAUACCAU
Molecule: ribosomal RNA, 429 nt
Filed under: uncultured eukaryote
Lineage: Eukaryota
Description: bacterial SSU rRNA
Rfam family: Eukaryotic small subunit ribosomal RNA
Source: RNAcentral